UACCCCAGCGUGUUAAGCCCUCCUUCUCAGGGGGUCUUCGUUGCAUGCAAGUAAUUUUCCUCACUCAGAAGUAAAUUAUACCACUACUUUGGUAUCCUGACACACCUAGAGGCUAGAGACACACCUGCCUCUAGCUUUGUCUGUUCAGCUCCAGCCAUUCCCAGGGUAAUGUGUUUGUGUGAAGAAAUGCAGCACUGAUGUCAAAGCUGGGAAAUGGUACAAGCAGGAAAUCCAUUACAGAUACCUUAUUACCAGAGCUGGGAACAAGACAUGGCUGACCUACUUUCAGAAAUUUUCCUACUCUAGAUGCUGCCUCCACACAUUGGGGCUGGGACGGGAUACAGCCCUAUAUCCUUAACUCCAACUUGGCUGAGAAAAGCAGGCUCUCUUGCUGCAAGCAACUGCUCUCCUAUUUCAUAUAAGCUGACCCCCAUGGCAGGAAUGCUCUCACUCCUCAUCACUGCCAUAUAUCUUCCUGCCAGGCUGAACUCAGGCUAUAUGUAUGUAUAUAAUGUCAUCUGCAAGGUCAUGCAAGUGGUUCCUCAACAUAUGCACUGAUCACAUGCUCCAUCACCUCUCAUCAAUAAAGAUAUUUAAGACUUUCAAUUAAAAAGUCUAGAAGUGACAUAGUGGCAAAAGAGGAUGCUUUGUCUCAUUAGUUAAAAUGUUGGAAAGUUCGAAGUAGAGAUUAAGAAGCAGGAAACCAGAGACAGUACCCUUGAAACAGGAUCCCUGAAGUAUAAAGGCACAAAGAUUGAGCCACUGUGUACAGCCUUUCCCCAUGGAAGACUCACACUUUAUGUUGGCACAGGACUACAGAGGACCUGAAAACAUGUGCUUGCAGGAAGAAUUGGAAAAUCAUGUAUGAGGAGCCAAAGACAGCAAUAACUUGUUCUAAUUAAGGAUCAACCGGCUGUGGAGCAUCAUGUGUUAUUUAAUUAGAAUAAACCAAGGCUACAUAAGUGAGUUCAUUGUUUUAUUUCUCCAAUGAAAGGUGUACAGCAUUUUUCACUGCAU
Molecule: non-coding RNA, 1017 nt
Organism: Phascolarctos cinereus (koala)
Lineage: Eukaryota; Metazoa; Chordata; Mammalia; Diprotodontia; Phascolarctidae
Source: RefSeq, a predicted model, not a curated record